GUGCAUGCGGCGUGCUAUACAUGCAAGUCGAGCGGACAGAAGGGAGCUUGCUCCCGGAUGUUAGCGGCGGACGGGUGAGUAACACGUGGGUAACCUGCCUGUAAGACUGGGAUAACUCCGGGAAACCGGAGCUAAUACCGGAUAGUUCCUUGAACCGCAUGGUUCAAGGAUGAAAGACGGUUUCGGCUGUCACUUACAGAUGGACCCGCGGCGCAUUAGCUAGUUGGUGAGGUAACGGCUCACCAAGGCGACGAUGCGUAGCCGACCUGAGAGGGUGAUCGGCCACACUGGGACUGAGACACGGCCCAGACUCCUACGGGAGGCAGCAGUAGGGAAUCUUCCGCAAUGGACGAAAGUCUGACGGAGCAACGCCGCGUGAGUGAUGAAGGUUUUCGGAUCGUAAAGCUCUGUUGUUAGGGAAGAACAAGUGCAAGAGUAACUGCUUGCACCUUGACGGUACCUAACCAGAAAGCCACGGCUAACUACGUGCCAGCAGCCGCGGUAAUACGUAGGUGGCAAGCGUUGUCCGGAAUUAUUGGGCGUAAAGGGCUCGCAGGCGGUUUCUUAAGUCUGAUGUGAAAGCCCCCGGCUCAACCGGGGAGGGUCAUUGGAAACUGGGAAACUUGAGUGCAGAAGAGGAGAGUGGAAUUCCACGUGUAGCGGUGAAAUGCGUAGAGAUGUGGAGGAACACCAGUGGCGAAGGCGACUCUCUGGUCUGUAACUGACGCUGAGGAGCGAAAGCGUGGGGAGCGAACAGGAUUAGAUACCCUGGUAGUCCACGCCGUAAACGAUGAGUGCUAAGUGUUAGGGGUUUCCGCCCCUUAGUGCUGCAGCUAACGCAUUAAGCACUCCGCCUGGGGAGUACGGUCGCAAGACUGAAACUCAAAGGAAUUGACGGGGGCCCGCACAAGCGGUGGAGCAUGUGAUUUAAUUCGAAGCAACGCGGAGGAACCUUACCAGUCUUGACAUCUCUGACACCUAGAGAUAGGGCUUCCCUUUCGGGACAGAGUGACAGUGGUGCAUGCUGUCGUCAGCUCGUGUCGUGAGAUGGUGGGUUAAGGUCCCGCAACGAGCGCAACCCUUGAUCUUAG
This 1091-nucleotide ribosomal RNA is filed under the name Bacillus pumilus. RNAcentral's name for it is "bacterial SSU rRNA". It matches the Rfam family "Bacterial small subunit ribosomal RNA", at positions 33 to 1114 of the family's 1533-position model. The record is from RNAcentral. Lineage: Bacteria; Bacillati; Bacillota; Bacilli; Caryophanales; Bacillaceae.